This 662-nucleotide unclassified non-coding RNA is filed under the name Hevea brasiliensis (rubber tree). The record is from RNAcentral. Lineage: Eukaryota; Viridiplantae; Streptophyta; Magnoliopsida; Malpighiales; Euphorbiaceae.
AUUUCAAGAAAGAAAGAAGAAGAAAAAAACAGGGUCUGACAAAAAGAAAAGAAGGAAUACAGGAAGAAUGGAAGAAAUCUCAAGGAAAGGAGGAAUUAGAGGGAAAGAAGAGAGAACAGAGAAGAACAGAGAGAAACCUCGUCUUUGGGAAGACUACCACUGCUCUGCUUUAUAUGUGGCUCAGAAGGACAACUUUGCAGCUCAAGCCCACUCAAAAACUAGCUUUUAUGCCAAUUUGUUAGGAUCUGAACCCUAACAAGCAGUUGCAGGAGAGAACAGACUAGAGAAGAGAGAAAUAGCAAGAGAGUUGAGAGAAAGAGACUCUGAAAGGAAAAGAAAGAGAGAAUUUAGACACAGAGAAAGAAACAAAAUAUCUAUUAUUGCUUUAGAAUAAUUCUUCCUCUUACAAUUCUGUUAUUUAUACUCCUCCCCCAUAAUUAACUGUUUCUGCCAAUUGCCAUCCCUUAACUACCUCUAGCUACUCUCAUCUAACUAAUUUCCCUUCAAUUCUUUUACUCAGUCCAUCUCAGCUGCUUACAUCUGCAUUAAAUCAUAUUUCUAUAUUCUUCCUAAAUCUUCUCCUGCAAGAUGUAACAGAAGAUUCAUCUCAGAAAUAGGGGCAGAAUUAGAAAUUUAUGUUGUGGGGCUUCUUUUUUUGUUUG